CGAAAGCCUGACGGAGCAACGCCGCGUGAGGGAUGAAGGCCUCUGGGCUGUAAACCUCUUUUCUCAAGGAAGAAGACCUGACGGUACUUGAGGAAUAAGCCACGGCUAAUUCCGUGCCAGCAGCCGCGGUAAUACGGGAGUGGCAAGCGUUAUCCGGAAUUAUUGGGCGUAAAGCGCCCGCAGGCGGCCCUGUAAGUCUGUCGUUAAAGCGUGGGGCUUAACUCCAUUUCAGCGAUGGAAACUGUGAGGCUUGAGUGUGGUAGGGGCAGAGGGAAUUCCCGGUGUAGCGGUGAAAUGCGUAGAUAUCGGGAAGAACACCAGUGGCGAAGGCGCUCUGCUGGGCCAUAACUGACGCUCUUGGACGAAAGCCAGGGGAGCG
Molecule: ribosomal RNA, 379 nt
Filed under: uncultured cyanobacterium
Lineage: Bacteria; Bacillati; Cyanobacteriota
Description: bacterial SSU rRNA
Rfam family: Bacterial small subunit ribosomal RNA
Source: RNAcentral